UCAACACUUGCUGAAUGUUUAUGGAAAUCAAACAGUGGAUCUGUCAUGCCACAAAAUGAGGAGUGUCUCAAUCAGCUCAUCCACAUGAAUUCACAGAUUGUGACCAGGGAACUUUGUAUGGAGCUGGCUAUCAAUUUCAGUGUGUUGGAAAUGAUGGUGACAACUUUGGAAUAUAAUAAAGUUUGCGCCUGGUGGGUCCCACAAAUGCUCACACAGGAACAGAAAGAACCUCUAUUGCAAGAUUGUCAGACCUAUGGAACCAAUACAAGGCUGAAGGUGAUGGUUUCCUGGACUGCAUACUUAGGGGGGCAAGACAUGGUGUCACCACUAUGAGCUGGAGUCAAAACAGCAGUCCUUAGAGUGGUGAGUGCCCUACCGAAGGAAAGGUUCAAGACACAGCCCUCCGGGGGUGAUGCGAUGUGCACUGUCUUCUGGUAUAAGAAAAGGACGAUUCUUCUGGAUUUCCUGGAACACAGACAAAACAUCAACUCUGACCACUACAUUGUGAUGCUGACUGAGCUGAUGGCUCAAGCUUCCACAAUAAGGCCAGAGAAGAAAAUAACCUUUCUCUUGCAACACAAACACCAGGCCCCAUACCAGUUAGAAGACUGUGGAGCACAUUGCCAAUCUUGACUGGACUGUCCUGACAUGCCCAUCACAGAGUGUGGAUUUGGCACCUUCUGACUUCCAUAUCUUCAGGCUGAUGAAUGUGGCCUCUGUGGGCAAUAUUUUCCUAGCAAUUAUGCUGUCAUAGCAGCUGUGGAACAGUGGUUCACAUCCACUAGUGCAGAUUUUUCUGGGCAUGGAGUGCAGGCUCUUGUGCAUUUUCACCAGUGAUGAACAGGUGAUGGUGAUGAAAUAUGUUUACAAAUAGUGUUAUGUAGCUCAGAAUUUGUCUAUCAAAUAGUGUUAUUGUGUUUUGUAUCUGUUCUUUCCAUGGAACUAAAGAGGAGGCAUUACUUCUGGAGUGACCUACAUAGAAUCAUACUGUGUGAGCUUAUGUGUUGCUUUUGAGGGGAAAGAGAGGGGAAAAAAGAAUUACUUCUGUUCACUCCUUCCUGACAUAAGGACCUAAAUAUUACGGUGACCCAAAAAAUGCAGUCCUUCAGAACUAGUCUGCUCUCUUCCCCUGGUCUGUGGAGCCUUAGGAGGAAAGUAGCUUGGUCAUACCUGCUACACAUAUUUAGUAGUAGUGUAAAAGGUGACUGAAGGAAUGGGCAGCCAGCCAGAGCCUUUGGUGUGAAGCUGCCUUCACGCCUACCUGGGACAAACGAGCCUUUUUUCAGCUGUCAUGAAAGCACUGUGCAUAGACUCUAAAAUCAAUGUGUUUGGAUUGUCAUUUUGAGUACCUUUCUGAAACUUUUGUUUUUCUAAUAACAGAGUAUUUGUUGUAGAAUAAUCCACCGUGUUGCAGUCUGCUAAAUUCCAAUGCAUAAUAUGAAACAAUGUGCUUCAAAGCAUUUAUCCUUUUUCUAAUAAGGAAAAACAACCAAAAAAAGUACCCUCCCAUGCCUAGCUCUUCAGGCAGUUUCCACCAAGGAGUUGUUAGGAGGAGUUAUUACUUCCCCACACCUUCUGUAGUAUCAAGAAUUUCUUUUAAAGUAUUCUGAAAACAAAACCAGCUGGGGUUAAACAAAGUCCUAUGAGAACUUAAUGAGAUUUUGGUCUUGAUAGAUAGGGAUUUGCUCUUGCGUUCUCAAACUUACAUUUUAGUAAAGGUAGCUAAGGUGAUGUUCUUCUUGACAUAGAAUCAUUUAUAGUGAUAAUUCCUGCAAAUGGGAAGGCACAUUUCUGAGCUCACAAAGAGACCACACAGGCAAAAGGAAAACACUCUAAAAGACAAACAAAAGAAAAGUGAGGGAAAAAGUAGGCCAAACACUCAAAAAGUGAGCAGCAGAAAGGGGAGGGGAAAAAAAGAAUUCAAACUUGCUAGAACAAAGCACUUGAAUUGGGGGAAAUAUAAAGAAAAAAAGGUCUAUAUGAAACUAACCCAGUGAAAUGUUUUACACCUACAGCACAAUGCCUUUCUAGCAGCUGAUCAUUUUACUAAAAUUGUUGUAAUAGCUAGUUUUUACACACUUGAGGCAGCAACUAGUGUCUAAGGCAAAAGACUUAUAGUUUGCUCUGGGCAUAAUGGUAUGAGAGGAGCUAGCUGCCAAGUGGGUCUGUGAUUUGAAUAGGGCGCCUUUGGUUUGGUAGGUGGUGUGUUUGUUCUGUGGCUGCAGUUCACUAGAAGUUGUUUGAUGCACUGGCCAAUGAUAACUAUCUUGGGAGGGGGAGAAGCCCAAAUCCUCCCUGUUUCAAGGAGAGAACAGAACAAAGUAUUUGUGUGGAUGGAAAGAAAAGUUGACAAACUCCAUGGUAACAUGAAGUACAUCAAUUCAUGGGGUACUUUGUGGUUUAUCACUUAAAAAAUAAAGAUUUAUUGACCCCAAA
Molecule: long non-coding RNA, 2436 nt
Organism: Numida meleagris (helmeted guineafowl)
Lineage: Eukaryota; Metazoa; Chordata; Aves; Galliformes; Numididae
Exons: 2
Source: RefSeq, a predicted model, not a curated record